AAUUCUACCCCAACUCCACACUCUAGCUUUGAUUUCUCCAAACAAGUUUGCAGUCUCCCAUAUUUUGUUCUCAAAUCUACUCUCAUUACGCAUUUUCCAAAUAAGCCAAGUAGUACAACACCAAAGAGUCAUCAAGAGCUUCUUAUUUCUUUUCCGGCCACUCAAACUAGUAAAGAACUGAAAGUGCGAGGACACGUCAUAUGGCUGCGCCAUGCUAACUCCGAGCCAUUGAAAGAUUGCUUCCCAUACCUUUGAGGUCUUUGGACAGUGGAUCAACAAGUGGUUCGUGGAUUCCUGCCGAUGAAAACAGGCGUUACAUCCCACCUCGACUUCACACAACAUCACAUUUCUUCUCGAGAGAUUGUCACACGUUGGAAUUCUGUUCUUCAAAAUUCUCCAUGCGGUAAGCUUGACUUUGUUUGGAAUAGGGAUCUUCCAC
Molecule: long non-coding RNA, 439 nt
Filed under: Salvia miltiorrhiza (redroot sage)
Lineage: Eukaryota; Viridiplantae; Streptophyta; Magnoliopsida; Lamiales; Lamiaceae
Description: long non-coding RNA (SMIL_LNC001048)
Source: RNAcentral